RNAcentral lists this long non-coding RNA (372 nucleotides) under Phoenix dactylifera (date palm). Its description in RNAcentral is "long non-coding RNA (PDAC_LNC004678)". Lineage: Eukaryota; Viridiplantae; Streptophyta; Magnoliopsida; Arecales; Arecaceae. The record is from RNAcentral.
AUGGGGCAGCAAUCUAGUUUUGUUGAGUGUUGAUGGCACAACUAUUGAUGCAGUGAACAUGUUCAAUAUUAACAUGUUGAAGCAAUGGUUCAACAGAAGUUUCUGCUCAAAAGUGGUGGAAUAACAAGAAAAUAAAUAUACAUGCCUACAAGAAUGGGCAGGGGAGGUGUUUUUGCAGAAGCAGUAGAAUUGGAAGGUUCUCUCGUAUCCACUGCAGCUAAAAGUUUAGCAAUAAUAAAUUUCUUUUCUAGAUAAUUACUAACAGCUAUACUACAUAAAAUGAUUCAGAUUUCACUGUAUGAAAAUUGUAUAGAAUUUUUCAGUCUCCUUUUACUUGACCGGACUAGACCAAUGAAAACGGACCAAGAUUUU